AACAAUUCAGAGGACAUAUGCAUAGAGUAUUGACAGAUUUUAAAAAAGGUAAGUUUUAGAAAGAACAAAACAGUUAAGUUCCUAAACACGUGUGGAUCUCAAGCAAUGGCCAGACUGUGUGAAAACUUCAUUCAUGCCAAUGUUCCUGGGGGAGGGCGGAUGUCAACUGUCAUAAUCGAUAGGAAAGCAGUGUGUUGUACAAUGAAUCAUAUGCAUCAACAUGGUAGUGCCAUUUAAUGGCCCUGGUCUUUGCAACCCUGGAAGACACAGUGAGGAUAUAAGUUAAAGGAGAAUAGAGCUUUAUGAUCAAAGACACUUGUCACAUGAUGAAUUAGGGCAAGAUUGAAAAUGGGAAGGAAUUCUAUGAACUCUGAACCCUACAGGCAGGGAAUAAGGAGUAAGGAAAGGAUGGAACAAUAGCUUUGGUCCUACUGUACAUUUCUAAAUGUGUGAAAAGUGUUUCCUGUGUAAGAAUAAAUUAUCAGGGGACAGAUAUGAGGAUGAUGAGAACAGGGCAGGAUUAUUUAACAGCCGAACGCGCUAACCAAUUGCGCCACAGAGACUUACUAUGGGAUUAUUUAAAAUCCUACCCAUCACUGGGCCUUAUCUGACGAAAGCAAAUGUAAUUAACAGGCAGCAAAUAGCCCAAACAUGAGAACAGCUACAGCAGGCAGAGCUCACCUUCAGACACCAGGUAACCUGAGUUCUGCCUGACAUAUUGAACCUUUAGGACCUCAGGAAUCCCUAAACAUGGGCUUUUCAUUGUUGGCUUUUUCCAGUUGCAGUUCAUGAGAAGAAUGCUCACAACUAGGUAUGUAUUUUCUUGUUUCCUCCUCUUUCUUUGGUGCACAUUCUGGAGUUACCGAAGGUAGAUGUGUUUUUCUCCCCCAGAGCAAGACUUGGAUCGAGGAGAGGGAGAUGGCAGAGCAGAGCAGGGAGGCCGCCUACUUGACAUACAGGACUGGAUGUGAUGGAAGGAAAGAGACUGCCUGAUGGAUACAUGAGGCAGAAACCAGUGCCUGGAAGACCAGAGGCACAGACCCUCCAAGGAGAGGUAAGGGGCACAUGGUGACGUGCAGCAGCCUAAUUUCUGCU
This 1095-nucleotide long non-coding RNA is filed under the name Suricata suricatta (meerkat). Its description in RNAcentral is "lncRNA (ENSSSUG00005009385.1)". The record is from RNAcentral. Lineage: Eukaryota; Metazoa; Chordata; Mammalia; Carnivora; Herpestidae.